RNAcentral lists this ribosomal RNA (313 nucleotides) under uncultured bacterium. RNAcentral's name for it is "bacterial SSU rRNA". It matches the Rfam family "Bacterial small subunit ribosomal RNA", at positions 484 to 793 of the family's 1533-position model. The record is from RNAcentral.
ACAGAAGUCACGGCUAACUACGUGCCAGCAGCCGCGGUAAUACGUAGGUGGCAAGCGUUAUCCGGAUUUAUUGGGGCGUAAAGAGAGUGCAGGCGGUUUUCUAAGUCUGAUGUGAAAGCCUUCGGCUUAACCGGAGAAGUGCAUCGGAAACUGGAUAACUUGAGUGCAGAAGAGGGUAGUGGAACUCCAUGUGUAGCGGUGGAAUGCGUAGAUAUAUGGAAGAACACCAGUGGCGAAGGCGGCUACCUGGUCUGCAACUGACGCUGACGACUCGAAAGCAUGGGUAGCGAACAGGAUUAGACUACCCUGGUAG